CGAACAACUGCUCUAUCAGCCAAUGAUGGCCGUGUAGUGGACUGCCAUGGCGUCGACGGGAGCGGGGGAUUAGGGUUCGAUUCCGGAGAGGGAGCCUGAGAAAUAGCUACCACUUCUACGGGAGGCAGCAGGCGCGCAAAUUGCCCAAUGUCAAAACAAAACGAUGAGGCAGCGAAAAGAAAUAGAGCCACCAGUCCCCUUUAAAGGGAUUGGCGGUCACAAUGGGGGAUAUUUAAACCCAUCCAAUAUCGAGUAUCAAUUGGAGGACAAGUCUGGUGCCAGCACCCGCGGUAAUUCCAGCUCCAAAAGCGUAUAUUAACGCUGUUGCUGUUAAAGGGUUCGUAG
RNAcentral lists this ribosomal RNA (345 nucleotides) under Trypanosoma sp. ex Culex tarsalis. RNAcentral's name for it is "SSU rRNA". It matches the Rfam family "Eukaryotic small subunit ribosomal RNA", at positions 300 to 633 of the family's 1831-position model. Lineage: Eukaryota; Euglenozoa; Kinetoplastea; Trypanosomatida; Trypanosomatidae. The record is from RNAcentral.